GACGAACGCUGGCGGCGUGCUUAACACAUGCAAGUCGAACGGAAAGGCCCUGCUUUUGUGGGGUGCUCGAGUGGCGAACGGGUGAGUAACACGUGAGUAACCUGCCCUUGACUUUGGGAUAACUUCAGGAAACUGGGGCUAAUACCGGAUAGGAGCUCCUGCUGCAUGGUGGGGGUUGGAAAGUUUCGGCGGUUGGGGAUGGACUCGCGGCUUAUCAGCUUGUUGGUGGGGUAGUGGCUUACCAAGGCUUUGACGGGUAGCCGGCCUGAGAGGGUGACCGGCCCCAUUGGGACUGGGAUAAGGCCCAGACUCCUACGGGGGGCAGCAGUGGGGAAUAUUUCACAAUGGGGGGAAGCCUGAUGCAGCAACGCCGGGUGCGGGAUGACGGCCUUCGGGUUGUAAACCGCUUUCGCCUGUGACGAAGCGGGAGUGACGGUAAUGGGUAAAAAAGCCCCGGCUAACUACGUG
This 468-nucleotide ribosomal RNA is filed under the name uncultured bacterium. RNAcentral describes it as "partial 16S ribosomal RNA". It matches the Rfam family "Bacterial small subunit ribosomal RNA", at positions 28 to 507 of the family's 1533-position model. The record is from RNAcentral.